ACCAUGAGGUGGAAUCUGAAGGAAGCCAGCGGCAAACUUCCGGCCUGAGGAACACGAACUUCAUAGGAGGCUAACACUUAUUGGAUGAGCUUGCAUAACAAAGCAAAGUCCUUGCUACCGAAGGUGAGUGGGAGUAAAUGAAGCAGGUACAUGGAAGGAAAGAAUG
RNAcentral lists this non-coding RNA (166 nucleotides) under Risungbinella massiliensis. The record is from RNAcentral. Lineage: Bacteria; Bacillati; Bacillota; Bacilli; Caryophanales; Thermoactinomycetaceae.